Molecule: ribosomal RNA, 460 nt
Filed under: uncultured bacterium
Lineage: Bacteria
Description: partial 16S ribosomal RNA
Rfam family: Bacterial small subunit ribosomal RNA
Source: RNAcentral
CCUACGGGUGGCAGCAGUGAGGAAUCUUGCUCAAUGGACGAGAGUCUGAACCAGCCACGUAGCGUGAAGGAUGACUGCCCUCUGGGUUGUAAACUUCUUUUAUAAAGGACUAAAACGAGGCACGUGUGCCUUUUUGCAUGUACUUUAUGAAUUAGGAUCGGCUAACUCCGUGCCAGCAGCCGCGGUAAUACGGAGGUUCCGAGCGUUAUCCGGAUUUAUUGGGUUUAAAGGGAGCGUAGAUGGGUUGUUAAGUCAGUUGUGAAAGUUUGCGGCUCAACCGUAAAAUUGCAUUUGAUACUGGCAGUCUUGAGUACAGUUGAGGUAAGCGGAACUCGUGGUGUAGCGGUGAAAUGAGUAGAUAUAACGAAGAACCCCGAUUGCGAAGGCAGCUUACUAAACUGGGACUGACAUUGAGGCUCGAAAGUGUGGGUAGCAAACAGGAUUAGAUACCCUAGUAGUC